Molecule: ribosomal RNA, 266 nt
Filed under: uncultured bacterium
Lineage: Bacteria
Description: partial 16S ribosomal RNA
Rfam family: Bacterial small subunit ribosomal RNA
Source: RNAcentral
CCUGAACGCUGGCGGCGUGGUUAAGACAUGCAAGUCGAACGGAUGUAGCAAUACAUCAGUGGCGGACGGGUGAGUAAUGUAUCGCUAAUGUACCCCGGAGACAGGGAGUAGCUGCCCGGAAACGGGACGAGGUAAUACCCACGAUGAUAUAACCUUACUCGCAUGAUGAGGUUCUCAAAUAGUAGCAAUAUGCUCUGGGAGCAGGCGAUAUCGUACAGCUUGUUGGUGAGGUAACGGCUCACCAAGGCGACGACGCGUAGCUGGUC